GACGAACGCUGGCGGCGUGCUUAACACAUGCAAGUCGAACGGAAAGGCCCUGCUUUUGUGGGGUGCUCGAGUGGCGAACGGGUGAGUAACACGUGAGUAACCUGCCCUUGACUUUGGGAUAACUUCAGGAAACUGGGGCUAAUACCGGAUAGGAGCUCCUGCUGCAUGGUGGGGGUUGGAAAGUUUCGGCGGUUGGGGAUGGACUCGCGGCUUAUCAGCUUGUUGGUGGGGUAGUGGCUUACCAAGGCUUUGACGGGUAGCCGGCCUGAGAGGGUGACCGGCCACAUUGGAACUGAGAUACGGCCCAGACCCUACGGGAGGCAGCAGUGGGGAAUAUUGCACAAUGGGCGGAAGCCUGAUGCAGCAACGCCGCGUGCGGGAUGACGGCCUUCGGGUUGUAAACCGCUUUCGCCUGUGACGAAGCGUGAGUGACGGUAAUGGGUAAAGAAGCACCGGCUAACUACGUG
Molecule: ribosomal RNA, 467 nt
Filed under: uncultured bacterium
Lineage: Bacteria
Description: partial 16S ribosomal RNA
Rfam family: Bacterial small subunit ribosomal RNA
Source: RNAcentral